This 497-nucleotide ribosomal RNA is filed under the name uncultured bacterium. Its description in RNAcentral is "partial 16S ribosomal RNA". It matches the Rfam family "Bacterial small subunit ribosomal RNA", at positions 28 to 507 of the family's 1533-position model. The record is from RNAcentral.
GAUGAACGCUGGCGGCGUGCCUAAUACAUGCAAGUCGAGCGAACAGGCGAGGAGCUUGCUCCUCUGACGUUAGCGGCGGACGGGUGAGUAACACGUGGAUAACCUACCUAUAAGACUGGGAUAACUUCGGGAAACCGGAGCUAAUACCGGAUAAUAUAUUGAACCGCAUGGUUCAAUAGUGAAAGACGGUUUUGCUGUCACUUAUAGAUGGAUCCGCGCCGCAUUAGCUAGUUGGUAAGGUAACGGCUUACCAAGGCAACGAUGCGUAGCCGACCUGAGAGGGUGAUCGGCCACACUGGAACUGAGCCACGGUCCAGACUCCUACGGGAGGCAGCAGUAGGGAAUCUUCCGCAAUGGGCGAAAGCCUGACGGAGCAACGCCGCGUGAGUGAUGAAGGUCUUCGGAUCGUAAAACUCUGUUAUUAGGGAAGAACAAAUGUGUAAGUAACUAUGCACGUCUUGACGGUACCUAAUCAGAAAGCCACGGCUAACUACGUG